GGUACUUCCACCCAUAUAGAAGGUGAACUAUGUGCUACAAUGAGAAGAACACAGGAGCCUAUCAAAAACACAAGCAAAGCAACGACCUUUGUGCCAUUGCAGGAAUCAACAUGAUUGCAGAGCAGUCUUGCUGCUGCAGGACUACACGAGGCUACAACAGGAGACUUUUAAUUUGGUUUAUCAGCAGGUCAUAUGAAUUUCAGCAAAGUGUUCCAGUCUACCUCAUCUUUUUUUUUUUUUUUUUUUUUUUCAUUUUUAGAAAAUAAAUCAGACUUCAUAACAUAGGCAAGAUGUUAUGAGAAACGCCCCUGAGUUCUGGUCUGAAAAUCACCAUGUCUCUGGAAAGGAGAAGGCUGGAGCACCCCUCCUACGAAGAGAGGCUGACGGAGCUGGGCUUGCUCAGCCUGGAGAAGAGAAGGCUCCAGAGAGACCUCACUGUGUUCAGCCAGUACUUAAAGGGAGAUUAUAAACAGGAGGGGAAUGAACUUUUAAAACAGGCCCCUCCAAAGCACAACAUUGAUGCCAAGACCACAAAUGGAAGCCACAAGGAGGAAAAUGAUAAGCAUCUUUGCAUUUCCUGGCACUCAGGCUGCCUCAGCAAGGAAUUCAUUCCCUGCCUGAACUGCUCAGCAAUAUGCACACCGUUUUACAUGGUAAAAUGGAAACAAACCCCGCAGCUUCUACGGUGCAGUGGCAGACACUCCCCAGGCACAGGCAGGUGGAUGGGUGCUGGCUGCACUUGAUACAGCACGCUGCAUUGUAAAGG
RNAcentral lists this long non-coding RNA (766 nucleotides) under Gallus gallus (chicken). Its description in RNAcentral is "lncRNA (ENSGALG00010007666.1)". The record is from RNAcentral. Lineage: Eukaryota; Metazoa; Chordata; Aves; Galliformes; Phasianidae.